Long non-coding RNA from Melopsittacus undulatus (budgerigar), 3495 nucleotides. RefSeq lists it as uncharacterized. The transcript is spliced from 2 exons. The record is from RefSeq and is a predicted model, not a curated record. Lineage: Eukaryota; Metazoa; Chordata; Aves; Psittaciformes; Psittaculidae.
UGGGAAGUCCCGGGGAUUUGUUAUGAGUGUGCAGCUUUUUCCGCUUCCGGGUAGAGGCCGAGCUCGUGGUGGUGGGUUUUAGCCUUCUGUCGGGAUGGAUGUAUUGCAUUCCCGUGCUCUCUAUGGAGCCCUCCAGUUCCCCCCUGGUUCCUGUGCCGGUUUCAUGGGGCGGCCGGGGCGCAGCCCCAGCCAUGCGGUGGGGAAGAGAGCAAGGGCGUUUGCUGGGCCGUGCUUAGCCGCUGCUUUCGGGACUGGCGUGUGGGCAGAGCCUGGAGACUCCGUGGAGCCGUGAGGGUGGAGCGGUGGGUUUCUCUGUUGGAGCCGGGGAACGUGCUACCGCCGCCUCCCCUACGGUGGGGUUUGGAGCUUUAUUCCAGCGGCCCCUUGGCGGUGCGGGCGGUGGGGGUGCUCCCCGGGUGAGGGUGCUAGGGGAGUCAAACCAGUGUUGAGCGGCUGAACGGAACCCGGGUAGAAGGGGAUUACAAAGGGACGGGCUGCUCUGAGGUAUUGGCUGCCUGUGCUGAGUGAUAUUCCUUGGUGAUGAAGCGCGUUCAGGUCUGCGAGUUGUAGCGGUGGAAGCAUGUGCUUAAAAGCGCAGUGCCACUGAGUCGGCACCUUUUGUUACCGGAGGCAGUGGAGUUUUUAUGUGGGUAGCUGACAAAGUGCAGGUGGGUUUGUUUCCUCGGUGGCUUUGGCUGUGCUUAGUGACUUGUUUGGCUGCCUUUUCUUGCUCAGGCUUGGCCGGUUUUAAUGUGAUUUUUGUGAUUAACGUGUUUUUAAUGUCAAGAAGGAGAGAUAAGAGCAAAGAACGGUCGGGCUGGCUGUAUGUGCAGAGGGGUUGAUUCAAGUUGAUGCUAGCAGAUGCACAAAACUGCCCAGCAUCAACCAGAGAAGUGCUGAAUUUGGAACGUGUCCAACUAACUCUAUGCUCCUGAGCAGAUGUGGUAUUCUUUCCAAGAACUUAGAGCAGAGCAUGGAAUCUCCUGCACCAGCCAGGUCCAUCCUAUAAUGAUUUAAAUCAACUGUUCAGAAGAAAUAUUAAUGGGACUCCUGUAAGACUCCUGACAUUUUGCUGAUGUUCCUGUUAGAAGACCUAUCACCUCAUUUUAAAAACAGUAAUAAAAACGUCAGUAUUCAAACUGCAGGGCUAAAAUGCUAACAGCCACAAAUUAGGUUAGUUCCAGGCAUUCUACUGAAUUCAUAGAACUACUAGUUAUGAACUGGUGGUUUGAGGCUCUUGUACAAUGCACAAGAAGGUAGGCAUCUAAGAAUGAUACUGUCAGCAGAAAGAUUUUUGUUUUUAAAAAUGGGAGGGCUAACUUAGCUGGUGAGAAAGAUGAGAAGUCGCAUUUCAGCAUAUCAUAACAGGACACCUCUUUGUGUCCAAGUCAGAUAUCUGCCCGUCUUUCUGACUUGUGGUAGUGCCUGGAAAUGAAGUCCCUUAUUGUGCCUUAACAAUUGAGCUCUACUUGGGUGUGUUUAUUGUCUUUUGAAGCUUUUUAGUGGGAUGGCUGCAGCUGUUCUGCAUGCCAGAUCAAUAUUUUCCAGGCAACACCUGGCAGCACUAAUAUAUCCUCAAUUUUGAGAGCAUCAAUAACGCUUAAAAUGUACUUAUAAUGUACUUACCUACUUAAAAAUGUACUUAAAAUUUGUGUGGGAUGCCUGAAUUGUGAACACUGAAGAAAUGUCUGUGGAAAGUUCCUGCUUAUUUUGAAGAUGCACUAGUUUGAGAAGUUGUGCAACAAGCAGCAGAAAUGUAGAAGUGAUGCAGAGCUUUUACUGGCAUAGAAGCUCAGGUCCUAUGGGAAACUGACAUUUUGGAAUCUGAGCUGUAUCUAACUUCCUGUCUUGGAUCUCACCUGGAGACCUAUAAGCAAAUUUGUUUCUGAACUAGAUGGGUAGUAAUAUUUCUAGAUUUAUAGCAUAUUCCCAAGAGGGUGUUUGUAUUAACUUUAAGGUACAACAGGUGAAGAAUAUGUGCAAAGUAACCUAAGUCAGUUUAACUAAUGGGUGAUCUACAUGGUCUAAGGCAUUUUUUUGCCUUGGAUCAUGUAAGGAUGCCUUUGGCAGAAAGAAGCCAUGCUAAUAAUCAGAGGGAAAAUGUGAGCCCCACAUUUACCAAAUAGAAUGAAAGAUCAUGCUAAAGUUUGAACAUGGACCUUUAAACAAGACACUCUCCAAGCCUACUUCUCAUUAAGAGAUUGUGUAUAUGCCUCUUUGUAGUAACACUGCUUUGUCAAUUGUGAAGCUGUCCUGGAACCAGGACAUCUAUGAACUUUGUAAUAGAGUAAAAUUAUUAUUUGGGAUAAGUAGGGUCCUUAACAGCUAUUCUGCCUGACCAGAAUCAUAGAUCCUUGUUCCUUACUUGCAGAUGGUAGUGGUGCUUAAGUUUCUUGGUAUUACAGAAGAAGCAUAAUUUUAUGUACUUUUAACUUUUAUGCUGAGCUGAAAAAUGUUACAUUUAAUGAAAAUACCUCUUGCCUCUUUUUACCCAGGAGCUAUGAAUGUCAAAGUCUUUCACGGGCCUAAAAAAACCUGGGCAAAGUCAAGAAAUACAAUUGAUCUGCUAAAUAUACAGAUAUUGUCAUGGGAUCAAGUCUUGAGCCAUAGAAAGCUAGGGACCAGGAUUAUAACCAUAUGCAUGUCCUGUUCCUUGCUUCCUGUGCAUUCAUGUUUGACCAGUAUUACAGAAACAGGAUCCUGGGUUCUGAGUUUUUGAUUUAACUUGGUAUGGUAAUUUGGACAAAUUGUAAUUUAUUUAAAAUUGUAAUUUAUUUAAAAUAUGGGAAAUGUCUUCUGGUCUUUCAUAACUGUGGGGAAAACCCCAGGACACAAUUUGCCUGCCAAAAAGAUUCUUGUGCCCCAGUUAAAUUCUACUGGCAUACUCUUGUGUAUAGCCAGGAUGGCAAGAGUGCUUUUGUCAGCUUAGCUUGUUUUAAGAAUGUGCAGUUGCAGUGAGGCAAGAAAAGCUCCAAUUAGAGUGUAUUUUGCGCCCAAGAGGGGGUUCCCAUAGCUCAUGUCUGUUGGCUGGUGAGCCUGAGUUACCAACCUCACUAAAAUGUCAGGCUGUAGUAACUGGACGUUUGUUGCCUCACAGAGUGAUUACAGCUGUUCUUGUUCACCACUUUUGAAUUCUCUUAUUACUUCUAUGUAAAUUUUUUUUAAAAAAAGAAAAAUACAGUAAGGUAUUUUUCUCUAUCAGUUUGAGAAAUGCAUCUCAUUACAAAAGCUUGCCUCAAUUUUAAUAAACAGUGCUGGCUAUCUGAUCUUCUCCACGGCAGAAGACAUGUAGUACCAAGCAUGUGUCAUCAUCAUAUGUGAGUUUCAACUGUAUGAAAUACUUCUUCAAGUAAAAAUUAGUGUUAUGUGCAGAUAGCUAUGUUUGUAAAGUAGAUGUGUUUGUUGUGGAGAAUCUUAAUUAUAAAGUAUUUUUAAAUCUUAGUAUUCUUGAAGUUCUUACCACAAUAUUUCAAUAAAGGUUUUAUUUUUUCAUCA